RNAcentral lists this non-coding RNA (187 nucleotides) under Roseovarius halotolerans. The record is from RNAcentral. Lineage: Bacteria; Pseudomonadati; Pseudomonadota; Alphaproteobacteria; Rhodobacterales; Roseobacteraceae.
GACAGAAUUGGGGUCCGAGGUGCCCGCAUCGUGCGGGAGAAUUGGGAAGCCGGUGCAAGUCCGGCGCUGCCCCCGCAACGGUAAGGAUGGGGGAUGCGGCCUUGGCCACUGGAUCGCGUCAUGAUCCGGGAAGGCGCCGCAUCCGAUCCCGCCAAGCCCGGAAACCAGCCUUGGACCAACGUCAAGC